This 71-nucleotide transfer RNA is filed under the name Lecanora saxigena. Its description in RNAcentral is "tRNA-Glu". It matches the Rfam family "tRNA". Rfam says of the family: Transfer RNA (tRNA) molecules are approximately 80 nucleotides in length. Their secondary structure includes four short double-helical elements and three loops (D, anti-codon, and T loops). Lineage: Eukaryota; Fungi; Ascomycota; Lecanoromycetes; Lecanorales; Lecanoraceae. The record is from RNAcentral.
GGCCCAAUUGUCCAGUGGUAAGACAUGUUGUUUUCAUCAACUUAACGCGGGUUCGAAUCCCGCUUGGGCUA